UAGGGAAGCUCGGGUCGAUAACAGGUCUGUGAUGCCCGUAGAUGUCCCGGGCGCCACGCGCACUACAGUGGGAGAGGUUACGUGAAACGGAGCUCUCUUGCGGUUGGGAUUGACGUUUGUAAAUAUGUCAUGAACGCGGAAUUCCUAGUAGCGUGCCGUCACUAACGGCAGGCGAAUGAGUCCCUGUUCUUUGUACACACCGCCCGUCGUUAUCUAAGAUGGAUGUGCGGAUGAAGUUGGCUAGGCCAAAAGAAUCCGUGCCACUAGAUUGGAUACAAGUCGUAACAAGGUUGCAGUAGGUGAACCUGCCGCAGGAUCAAUAAGCAGUGCGUUUUUGGGUUUAAUAUGUAUGUAUACAUUACGUUCGAAGGAUCGAUUGGCUUUGGUGACGAUGAAGAACGUUGCAGAUUGCGAUAUUGAGUGAGAAUAGCGUUAUUCAGCUCGUGUUCGAAUUAUAGAUGAUAUCUAUGAUAACUCCUUGGACUUAAGCAUAUCAUUAGAGGAAGGAGAAGAAAAUUAACGAUGAUUUUCGA
This 533-nucleotide ribosomal RNA is filed under the name Berwaldia schaefernai. RNAcentral describes it as "bacterial SSU rRNA". The stretch from base 1 to 322 matches the Rfam family "Microsporidia small subunit ribosomal RNA", at positions 992 to 1311 of the family's 1311-position model. Lineage: Eukaryota; Fungi; Microsporidia; Amblyosporidae. The record is from RNAcentral.